This is a long non-coding RNA of Ziziphus jujuba (common jujube), 3133 nucleotides long. RefSeq lists it as uncharacterized. NCBI's taxonomy places the organism in Eukaryota, Viridiplantae, Streptophyta, Magnoliopsida, Rosales, Rhamnaceae. The record is from RefSeq and is a predicted model, not a curated record. The transcript is spliced from 3 exons.
CAUAUCCAAUGCAAAAAGGGCAAAAAAAGAAAAAAAAAACAACAACAACAAACGAAAAAAAGUCAGUUUUUUAUGAUUAUUAUUUUCUUUUGUGAGAAAAAAGAAAAAAGGAAAAAAAAAAAAAAAAAAAAAAGGUUUUGCAAUAACCUCGGCUGCUGAAACUAGUCGAACGCUUGGCCCUGUGACCAAGAAACCAUGAGGACGACGAGGUGGAAAUUUUAAAAAAGAAAAAAAUUUCUAGUAGCACAAACAGAUCAAUAUGUAUAUAUGGAAGUCCAUUGAAGUGUAUAGUGAUUGGUUGCAAGGCUGAUUCUUUGGGAUGAAGAAGGAUAUUUGUACUUAUCGAAGUAGUCAGAGCCCAGAUGUCUUUACCAAAGGAAUCCAACUGGAAUUUCUUUGUAAGAAAGAUGCAGGAUAAAUCAUAUGGCAACAAGUACAACUGCGUUGUCUCAGGUUUAACUUUCUGUGUCAGUAUAUGAUGAAAUCGCACCUUUCAUUUUUCAUUUUCUUUUUCUUUCUUUAUGUUUUAUAUUCUUUUUGUGUUUGAUCGCAGAUGCUGCUCUGUUAGCAUUUAAAGUAAAUGCUAUCCAUAGCUAUAGGGAGUGUACUGACAUAGUAGAUGGAUUAGCAAAUAGAGAAACUCUUAUACAUGAUGGAAUAUGCUUCUGAUGGAGCGUUAUUUUAUCUAUUAGAUAUCUUUGAUUUUGAAUAGUCCUUUUGUACUAGCUCUUACUUGUAAAAUGGAAGAAACCUUUAUGUAACCGCACACAAAGUGACGUAGUAGAAUAUUUUUGUAGCAUUGGAUUGGAAAAGUUCAUCCUUAGGCCAACUAGCCUGUUAAAUUAUUUUAGCUUAUCGAUGACUCAAAAAAAGCAAAACCACAAAAAAAGAAAAAGAAAAGAACAAGGUAAUGGGAAACUUGCAUCAUUGGAUGGACAUUGCAGAAUAUCAAAUUCUUAUUCCAUUUAGUAUAAAUUUUGUGUUCAAAAUUAUUUGCUUACCUCUGUGUGAGUAAAAUAACUUUCUGAUUCCAGUAGCGUUCAACUGAUUAGUAUUGUUUGUGAUCAUCUUAAAUUAGUAUACUAAUGUAUAAUACAUUUGUUGAUUUUUUUUAUAUGCAAGUUUGGGUAUGUAUAAUUCAUUUGUUGACUUUUUAUAUGCGCAUGUUUGGGUUUGUUGUGACUGUGCAUUAGCUCUUGUGUCUGUGUACAUGCAUACGUAGAAAGACACACAGUGAACCGGUAUCUAAAUAAUUUCUGGCUCCAUGGAAAUAAUUUCACUAUACGUACACAGACACAUACAAGUGUUCUUCAAUAGACAUAGUAACGAGCAUUGAAAAUGUGCAAAAAGUAGUUUUCUUCUUGACAGCUACUCACACGUUGUUGCUUUCAUCAACCCAAGUCCAAAUGAGGGUUUCAUUUUUGUACCCUACAUUGAGGGCUAAACUCUGCAACUACAUCCAUAAAGCUAAAUAACCUUUUUAUUUUUUUAAAAAAAAUUUGCUGAUGAAAAAUUGUCCGUGUUGGAAGUUUUCUUUGGUGAUGGAGUAACUUGCAAUUCAAUUAUAUUGAUGAACUUUUAGUUUACAUAAUCUUUCAAAUUUAAUUGUUAAAACGAAAGGAAAAUGCUUGUGCAUUGUAUCAUAUUUCUGUUAUGUUGGCUAACUAUGGUUUUCUAUAUGGAUACAAUUUUCUUCAAUAUAAACUAAUAAAAAAUGCAAAAGAAACAAACUCUACUCCUUGCAUUAAAAAUUUUCUUUCGUACAAAAUGUUUAGAUUUAAACGUAGGAUUUACUAUUUGAUUAAUGCUCUUUGUAUAUGCUUGUUUCAUUGCUCUUUUUGUACCAUGCCAUAUUCCUGGAAAUAGCAGAGCCACUAAUGCAUCUCUGAAUACUUGUCAAUUUAAAAUUUAAUAUCUACCUGAACCGCCCAUACCAACUAUGGACAUAAUGCGUAGUUGAUCUACCUUCUUAACUCAAUUGCGUCUUCAAAGCCAUUGUGCUUGCCUCGGAGCUUAUCACAUCAUCUUUUCGGUUGGUGAUGUAGCCAUUAAUCCCCUUUCCAUCAAAAACAUAAAUUUGCAUGAUAUAGGUGACUUUGAGCGUUGUUGCAGUUCUUGAACCAAGAAUUUGAGAGAAGACUAAGAAAACUCUAAGAAUCCUAAGAGAAAAAAAGAGAAACUUUGAGAGAAAAUGAGAGAAUUUGAGAGAAAAUUCUUCUGUUGUACUAAUUUCUGUAAAAUUGCUUACAUUACAAGCUUCUUAACUAACUAUUUAUACAAAUCUGUUAUAACUGCUUUAUACAAGAAAACAAGAAAUACGUGUAAGUAAUAUAAACAACAAGCUGUUGAGCUGAGCUGGCAACUUCUUCAGUUAAGCUGAGCUGUCAUCUUCUCCAUAGCUUCCACACGUGUAUGUAAUGUAUAAACAGCAUGUUGUUGAGCUGUGCUGGCAAGCUCUUUAGUUGAGCUGAGCUGUCAUCAUCUCCAUAGCUUCAACAAGCCUUGCCCGAAUAGACAUGAUUUGGUCUUGGAUUCCAUUGAGAUAAUAAGAAAUUUGAUGCAUCUAGCAUGGAGAGGAAGUAACUUUGACAAUGAAGGUGUCGAUAACAUCCUCCACAUCAGAAUUAAGCUACAUCUCUGACUUGUCUUCCCAAGUCUCGGAGACGAUGCAUCCUGUUCUUGCUUGCUCUCUGCAUCUUUCAAGAAGCCGGAAAUGCGCUGCAGUUCAUCUUGCAACAGAACCACAUCCUCCUCCACAUUUUUCAACGGAGCUGCUUCAUGGAUGAGAAUGUAGGAGAGUCUUUGGAUUGCUAGGUAUACGAUGGACGUGCCAUUGUUGUGAAAAGUACUAAUUAACUUGGAGUUCAGUUAGAUGUGCCUGUGGAAGACAAUACUGAACACCACAUUGUACAUAUAAAUACACAUACAUAUAGAAUCACCAUUCACCAAACCAUUAGAAAUUCAUAUCCCACAUCGUCCAAGAAAAUAAAAAAUCCUCCAUCCCACUACUAUGUACAAGGAUUUGUAUAAGUCAACCCGACAUUGCAACGUGCGAGAAAUUAUUAAGAAAGGCCUCGCAGCAGUUUCGGACAUUCUUAGUGGAAUAAAUGCCCAUUAAGCUGGUUCCUUCGAA